This 300-nucleotide ribosomal RNA is filed under the name Triticum aestivum (bread wheat). Its description in RNAcentral is "partial small subunit ribosomal RNA". The record is from RNAcentral. Lineage: Eukaryota; Viridiplantae; Streptophyta; Magnoliopsida; Poales; Poaceae.
AUGACUACGCGGAUUCGCCGAGUACCACGAUAUUCGGAGCCCUCGGAUACGUCAAGUUCAACUACCGUCGCAAGAACGAGACCGGCAAGUCCGAAGACCCUAAGUACCACGACAACCCUGAAGGGAUUCGAAUUCGUCAAGUUCACCUUCGAAACGUGUACCACUACUGCCGCCCGAACAUCUACAGAACAUGUACCACAACUUUCGCACGACGACCCGCGAACAACCCAUCUAACUGGUCGUGGAGGCAAGAACUUGUUCGACAUACUUUCAUUCCUCCUGAUGCUGAAGCAAUAUUGA